Molecule: ribosomal RNA, 253 nt
Filed under: uncultured bacterium
Lineage: Bacteria
Description: partial 16S ribosomal RNA
Rfam family: Bacterial small subunit ribosomal RNA
Source: RNAcentral
UACAGAGGGUGCUAGCGUUGUUCGGAAUCAUUGGGCGUAAAGGGCGCGUAGGCGGCACUGUUAGUCAGGCGUGAAAGUCCUGGGCUCAACCUGGGAACUGCGCUUGAUACGGCAGAGCUAGAGGAUGGAAGAGGCUCGCGGAAUUCCCAGUGUAGAGGUGAAAUUCGUAGAUAUUGGGAAGAACACCGGUGGCGAAGGCGGCGAGCUGGUCCAUUACUGACGCUGAGGCGCGACAGCGUGGGGAGCAAACAGG